RNAcentral lists this ribosomal RNA (341 nucleotides) under Chalastonepsia hokkaidensis. Its description in RNAcentral is "partial 16S ribosomal RNA". Lineage: Eukaryota; Metazoa; Arthropoda; Insecta; Diptera; Mycetophilidae. The record is from RNAcentral.
UUUUUUAAUUGAAAACUUGUAUGAAUGGUUUUACGAAAUAUUUACUGUUUCAAAGAAAAAUUAUUAGAAUUUAAUUUUUUAGUUAAAAAGCUAAAAUAUAAUUAAAAGACGAGAAGACCCUAUAGAGUUUUAUAAAUUUAUUUAUAUUAUCUUUUUUAAUAUUUUUAAAUUUAUAUAGGUAAAUAUAUUUUAUUGGGGUGAUAGUAAAAUUUAAUUAUCUUUUAUUUAUAAAAUUCAAAGAUUUUUGAUUAUUUGAUUCUUUAUUAUGGAUUAUAAGAUUAAAUUACCUUAGGGAUAACAGCGUAAUUUUUUUUAGAGUUCUUAUCAAUAAAAAAUUUUGC